AGUUUCCUACGGGGCGCAGCAGUGGGGAAUAUUGCACAAUGGGCGAAAGCCUGAUGCAGCAACGCCGCGUGAGCGAUGAAGGCCUUCGGGUCGUAAAGCUCUGUCCUCAAGGAAGACAAUGACGGUACUUGAGGAGGAAGCCCCGGCUAACUACGUGCCAGCAGCCGCGGUAAUACGUAGGGGGCUAGCGUUAUCCGGAAUUACUGGGCGUAAAGGGGGCGUAGGUGGGUUCUUACGUCAGAGGUGAAAGGCUACGGCUCAACCGUAGUAAGCCUUUGAAAAUGGGGAACUUGAGAGCAGGAGAG
RNAcentral lists this ribosomal RNA (305 nucleotides) under uncultured bacterium. RNAcentral's name for it is "bacterial SSU rRNA". It matches the Rfam family "Bacterial small subunit ribosomal RNA", at positions 333 to 656 of the family's 1533-position model. The record is from RNAcentral.